GAUAGAUCGUGGAAAUUGAUAAAGAUGAAGGCUGGAUCUUGUAUAUCGGUAUAUUUUGCCGUUAUAAUUUGAAAUGUAAUCGCGAAAGGAAAUCGCGGUCUGGCACCGGGUACCGUGUGCACUAAAUAUACAAAACGGUGUCGUUGGUUAAUAAGCUACGAAACUGGGCGCAGGAGCGCUCUUCAGGUAACAGUAAAUACGCGCCAAGUACUAAAAUUUGCAUUUAACUACCGCGGCCAAUUUGAAUACCUAAUUUUAAUACGUAACCGCAUAAAUUUAUGAUAAUUACUCUUCUUAGCGUUAUUUGAACGUUGCCCAUAAGAGGCGUGUAUUUAACACGUGCCGCGCUCUGUAAUUAGACGAUUUCCGGUUUUCUUUUCUUUUAUAUCGAUUUUUUCGCCGUGUAUUUUUCAAUUGGACAUCGGCGAAAAAAGAAAAAAGAAAAAGUAAAUAACUUGGGUUUUAAUUGCUAUUAAUUAAAACCUUUCGGAUUUAUCGUUUCCAUUUUACAACGUUUCCAACUGCCAUCCUCAAACUAUUGGAUUUCGCUUUAAAUCCUCGAAAUACUCGAUUAAUCGUUCGAUUUUUCACUCUUUAUUUAUUUAUUUUUUCUCUUCGCUGGUUCAAAAAAAUUUUCAAUCAAUUUUUCUUUCCAACAAGAUCAUUGAUAAUGCAAGGAUAAGAAGGAUAUAAUGAAAAAAAGCUCGGCGAAAAUGAAAAUCGAGGGACAAACAAAUAAUUCAAUCCGGCCAAAAUUCUCGAUCAAACGCUCUCUCCGAUAUACACCGAUCAUCGAAAUGGGGUACGGAAAAGGCAUGGAGAACUCGUUGGCACAGCGCCAUCUUCGUACUCCAUAUUCCUCUUUAUGCCAUCCUCGCGUCGUUUCUCUCCCCCCUCCCCUCCUCUCUCUCUCUCUGAUCCACGAAAAUUUCUCGCCCCACAGUUUGUUAGCUUCGCGUGGAACGUUCUUCGUUUUGGCGAUUUUCGAGGCCGGAAAAUCCGUGCCGCCUCGCACCUGUCGGCCCGAUACGCGUCUUCUCUGAUGCAUAUAUGCAUAAGCAUUUAUGCAUAAUCGCAUCGUGACCCCACGACUCGAAACGGAUCGUGUUACGUGAUGGCCGUCCGCGAGAAUUCUAUUCCACCUUCCUUCCGAACGGAAACCGCUAUUUGCCCGAUCGAUUCCGAUCAGAUCGACUUUGGAAAUCGGGCCGUUGGACCAGUUUUUUAGGAGAUACGAACGUGCUAGGCUUUUUUUUAUUUGUAAUUUUGUGGUUUUAUAAUUCGAGUAUUUAUUAAUAAAUAAUAAAAUAAAGUAGGUGAAGAAUUUCGAUGGAGAUGUAAUUUUUAAUAUUUAAUAUUUCGUGUAUAUUGUAAAUUCUUAGAGUUUUGUAAAAUAAAAGAUAUCGUCCUGCAAAUUUAUUAAAUUUGAUUGUUUAAAUUUGUUUAGGACAAAAAUUUUGAAGAGAAAUAUCGAGAGAACGAGAAAAUAUUGUUAUUUGUGAGGUAAAAUUUCUAUACGCUUUGUAUUGAAAACAUAUGCGUUGCAUAACGUACGAAACGAAUAGGUACGAAAAUAUAAACAUAUCGUCGAAACGUUGCACGAUGUAAACAUACUUUAAUUCGUACACUUCCGAGAAACACACACGCUUUUGUUUUCCCCUUCCACCAAAACAGAUCACACGUCCUUAUUGCGUAUAAUCGUUCUACAGUCUCUAUUCGACUUUCAAGUGGUUCUCACGUUUUUCGUAUUGCGCGUUCAAUUUUAUAAAAGUGUUUCGUUAUUUCGGCAAAUAUUUCGUUCCAAGCAAUUAUUUUUUAACAACGUGAAAUGUAUAAGAUAACAAGAUUGGAUAGAAUAUCGCUGCAUCGAGAAGAACUUUCUAAUUUUCAGAGGUUAGAUUCAACGUGAUCGAAUAAAGUACGCGAAUAAAGAGCAUCGUAACGUUCCUUUAUAAAUUUGUGUUCGAUUUUACAAUAGUGGAAAAUAGUGUUUCGUUAUUCGGCAAAUAUUUCGUUCCAAGCAAUUAUUUUUUAACAACGUGAAAUGUAUAAGAUAACAAGAUUAGAUGGAAUAUCGCUGCAUCGAGAAGAACUUUCUAAUUUUCAGAGGUUAGAUUCAACGUGAUCGAAUAAAGUACGCGAAUAAAGAGCAUCGUAACGUUCCUUUAUAAAUUUGUGUUCGAUUUUACAAUAGUGGAAAAUAGUGUUUCGUUAUUCGGAAAAUAUUUCGUGUCAACGUAGAAGCAAUUAUUUUUUAAUAACGUGAAAUGUGUAACAAUUGGAUGGAAUAUCUUAUCGAAUAUCCUUGAGAAAAAUUUUCGAGAGUUUCAGAGGUUAGGUUCAACGUGAUUCGACAUGAUCGAAUACAAAAGUACGUGGAAGAGUAUGGCAAUGUCUUUUUUUCUAUCCUUUUAUAAAUUUUCAUUCCAACUGCUUCAUUAUUCAAAAUUCUUCGAUAUUAUUUAUUUCUUACGUGAUUCAUAUUGUUCUUAAAUCUCAACUGUUUAAUUUGCGUAUCAGUCAUUAGUUACAAAUAUUCAAAGAGAAUAAUAGAUAAAUAAAAUCCUGUCGGGACAAAAUCGAAAGAACGUAAAUAAAAGGAUGGAGGAAAACACGUUCCAUUUAUCGUUCGUGUGAUCAAAAAAUUCGACAAAAUUCCGGUAUGCAUCGCUAUUUCGAAUAUCGAUGAAACUAUUUAACCGCGUGUGUCAUUAUACGGAGAUGGAAUCGAGUGCACGAUUUCGCAGUAGCAGCAGAUGUCGGCGGUUUCGGCCAAUAUCGACGUUUCUGAUAGUCGAUUAUUGAAAUACAGUUCGUCGCGCUUUACCCAAGAGUUUCCUAAUAGGACGAUUCUCCUCGACGCUGCUUUCAGAAGUACUUUACCGAACACGUUAUUUUCCGCUACAACCGACUUUAACGUUACUUCCAAUCGACUUUGAGGUUAAUAGUUGUUUAACGUCAGUUUGCCUACCGCUUUCGCUACAUGGCCGAGAAAAACGAAGUAUCGGAUGAAAAGAAUCGAACGAAAUUACCUUCGAUUGGACAACGCCAAUUUUUAUUCGAAUUCGUGUUUAUUCAUUCGCGCGUGAAUACACGAUUCGAAUCUUUUUAGGUUAAUUUAAUCUCCCGUAAAAAUAGAUACGGAGACAAAGGGGGAUAGGCAAAACGAAACGAAACUUUCUCCCAAAUAAUUUCGGCGGAAUCGUUUGGCGGCGUUGGGCGCCUCCCCCUAUUUUCGGCCGAAUUUCAUUACACUGCGCGUUGUAUCGCGAAAUUUAUGUUCGAGCUUAAAUUAGAAUAUCAGAUUAUCAAAUUCUGGAAAGUUGGUAAUUCCGGUAUGCACGGGAUCGGGCACGGGUGCCGCUUUUACGACAACGCAACCAGGCAACAUUAAUUAAACACAAAUAAAUGUAACUGGAUUCCCGAAUUUGCGGCGGGGCGAAAGCAAAUCCGUUUUAUCCGUUUAACGCCUGAACGUUGUAAAAUUACUUGGAAAAACGAAGUAGAAAUUUGUCGAAUUAGAAGUUGGAGAGAGAAAGAGUGAGACAGAUGCAUUUGUCAACAACUGCGAGAAACUUGGAUUUAAAAAAAAAAAAUUAAUAAUUAGAAAUUAAUAAUUAGAUUUCAAUUUUAAAUUUAUUAUAGAAAAAUUAAUAAUUCGUGAGAAUUCAUUUUUACGAAAAUUCUUUAAAUUAUCUUCCUUUGUUUCUUUUCUUGUCAUGCAUUUGCCACACUGCGAUAUUUCGUAAUUUUUCUCUCUCUUCGUCGAAUAUCGUAUGAUUCUUUUCACGAAGGAGAUUUUAUUAUAGUAAAGCAUAUCCUCUCGAGCCGGUCACCGAUCACAAGCCGUGAAUUAGAGAUUUAAUCUGGCAGAUUAGAUUUUUUUUUCCCUAUCAUUCCGGUCGCGAAGCCGCGACGAAUAAAGAAGGAGAAGAAGGAGAAGAAGAAGAAGAAGCUUUUGGCUGGAGAUUCUCGAAAGGUGCAAGAGGGUAUCGGUCCCAUCGCUAUCCGGGGGUCACGUGCGCCGCGUCAGGGCCGUAGGGUGGCGUUCUUGCGCAGGGGUGCAAGAAGUAAGGGCUGUUUCGUGAGCUGCAUACGGGAGAACGGGAGAGCAGAGAGCCGAAUGAAAUUUGUUUAUUCUUUAUUCUCCCCCUUCUUGGUCCGUUUUUCACGGAAGCCUGAACCAUGGUCAUCGGCAUUCGCUCACCACGCACGGAUGAGGAUCCAGCUUCCAUUUCGCGUUUGCCCCGCUAAUUGAUUUAAUUGAUCUCACGUGCACGCUACGUCAUUAUUGAUGCGUGGUCCAGCGACACAUUAAAAUUACUGGGUCCAAUCGAAUUGGCAGGCAAUGACGCGAGAUGCCGAGACACACAGCGAGCGAAGCGGCAAUUGCAAGGGUAUCGUUUUGGAGCAACGUUUCAAGGUGGAAGAAUUAUAUUAUUUAAUACGAAGAAUUAAAUUCUUCGCAUUGACAUCUAACUCGUCUUCCUAUGUGCGGAAGGGAAGGAAGAUAAAUUGCACGCGAAAAGAGAGAGUAAAAAAGUCGAGAUAUCCAUCGAUGCCAAGAGAAUUGAAUUUCCAGUUCUAAUAUGAAAAAUAUUCCAAAGACAAACGACGAAGCAAAAGUAUUGUUCUGUUGUGAACUCUGUUAAAAAGAGGAAAUCCAAAUAUCCAAAUAUUUAUGCCAAAAGGAUUAAUUUCAUUUUUAACGAAAUACUCUUAAACGACGAAGCAAAAGCGCACAAGAAGAUUAAAUUUUCAUUUCCAACGAAAUACUCCAAAGACAAACGACAAAGCAAAAGUAUUCUGUCGUAGACUGUUAAAAAAAUAAUCCAAAUAUCCAUCGACGCCAAGAGGAUUAAAUUUCUAAAAAGUAAAUUCUAUUAAAAAAAAAAAAAAAUCAAAAUAUCAAAUCAUCACCAAGAAAAUUAAAUUUUUAAUAAAACACUUCAAAGACGAAUGACAAAGCAAAAGUAUUCUUUCCAAGUAUUCUGUCGUAAAUUCUGUUAAAAAAAAUCCAAAUAUUCAUUAAAUUUCCAUUUCUAACAAAAUACUCUCAAACGACGAAGCAAAAACGCACAAGAAGAUUAAAUUUCCAUUUCUAACGAAAUACUCCAAAGACGAACGAUAAAAGCAAAAGUAUCCUUUUCAAGUAUUCUGUCGUAAACUCUGUUAAAAUAAUCCAAAUAUCCAUCAAGAGGAUUAAAUUUCUAUUUCUAACGAAAUACUCCAAAGACGAACGACGAAGCAAAAGUAUCCUUUCCAAGUAUUCUGUCGUAAACUCUGUUAAAAAAAUAAUCCAAAUAUCCAUUAAAUAUUCAUCAAAUCCAAAUAUAUAUUAAGAGGAUUAAAUUUCCAUUUCUAAUGGAAAAAGACAAAGCAAAAGUGCAAAUAUAAUUUUCUAAUUCUGUCAUAAACUCUAUUAAAAAAAAAAAUUCAAUCAUCCAUCAAGAGGAUUAAAUUUCAAACAAAAUACUCCUAAGACGAACGACGAAGCAAAAUAAGAUUAAAUUUCCAUUUCUAACGGAAAAUAACAAAAGUAUUUUCACGCAAGUAUUUUUCAACUCUGUCAUAAACUCUAUUAAAAAAAAAAAAUCCAAAUAUCCAUCAAGAGGAUUAAAUUUCCAUUUCCAAUGAAAUACUCCAAAGACGAACGACAAAGCAAAAGUAUUCCUUCCUAGUAUUCUGUCAUAGACUCUAAAAAAAUAAUCCAAAUAUCCAUCAAGAGGAUUAAAUUUCCAUUUCUAACGAAAUACUCCAAAAAUAAACGACAAAGCAAAAGUAUCCUUUCCAAAUAUUCGUAAACUUUGUUAAAAAAAUCCAAAUGUCCAUCAAGAGGAUUAAAUUUCCAUUUCUAACGAAAUACUUCCAAGACGAACGACGAAGCAAAAUAAGAUUAAAUUUCCAAUUCUAACGGAAGAUAACAAAAGUAUUUUCACGCAAGUAUUUUCUGUCAUAAACUCUAUUAAAAAAAAAAAUCCAAAUAUCCAUCAAGAGGAUUAAAUUUCCAUUUCUAACGAAAUACUCCCAGGACGAACGACGAAGCAAAAUAAGAUUAAAUUUCCAUUUCUAACGGAAGAUAACAAAAGUAUUUUCACGCAAGUAUUUUCUGUCAUAAACUCUAUUAAAAAAAAAAAAUCCAAAUAUCCAUCAAGAGGAUUAAAUUUCCAUUUCUAACGAAAUACUCC
Long non-coding RNA from Apis mellifera (honey bee), 6188 nucleotides. RefSeq lists it as uncharacterized. NCBI's taxonomy places the organism in Eukaryota, Metazoa, Arthropoda, Insecta, Hymenoptera, Apidae. The transcript is spliced from 4 exons. The record is from RefSeq and is a predicted model, not a curated record.